ACAAGCAAUGAGGUUGAACAAUUGAACAA
RNAcentral lists this small RNA (29 nucleotides) under Bombyx mori (domestic silkworm). RNAcentral describes it as "piRNA piR-bmo-2179559". Lineage: Eukaryota; Metazoa; Arthropoda; Insecta; Lepidoptera; Bombycidae. The record is from RNAcentral.